RNAcentral lists this ribosomal RNA (253 nucleotides) under uncultured bacterium. RNAcentral's name for it is "partial 16S ribosomal RNA". It matches the Rfam family "Bacterial small subunit ribosomal RNA", at positions 524 to 776 of the family's 1533-position model. The record is from RNAcentral.
UACGUAGGGUGCAAGCGUUAAUCGGAAUUACUGGGCGUAAAGCGUGCGCAGGCGGUUUUGUAAGACAGGCGUGAAAUCCCCGGGCUCAACCUGGGAAUUGCGCUUGUGACUGCAAGGCUGGAGUGCGGCAGAGGGGGAUGGAAUUCCGCGUGUAGCAGUGAAAUGCGUAGAUAUGCGGAGGAACACCGAUGGCGAAGGCAAUCCCCUGGGCCUGCACUGAUGCUCAUGCACGAAAGCGUGGGGAGCAAACAGG